This 253-nucleotide ribosomal RNA is filed under the name uncultured bacterium. RNAcentral describes it as "partial 16S ribosomal RNA". It matches the Rfam family "Bacterial small subunit ribosomal RNA", at positions 524 to 776 of the family's 1533-position model. The record is from RNAcentral.
UACGAAGGGGGCGAGCGUUGUUCGGAAUUACUGGGCGUAAAGGGCGCGUAGGCGGCCGAUCAAGUUAGAUGUGAAAGUCCUGGGCUCAACCUGGGGACUGCAUUUGAUACUGAUUGGCUUGAAUCCGGGAGAGGAUAGCGGAAUUCCCAGUGUAGAGGUGAAAUUCGUAGAUAUUGGGAAGAACACCAGUGGCGAAGGCGGCUAUCUGGACCGGUAUUGACGCUGAGGCGCGAAAGCGUGGGGAGCAAACAGG